CCCUUAGAUGUCCGGGGCCGCACGCGCGCUACACUGAAGGAAUCAGCGUGGCUUUCUCCCUGACCCGAAAGGGUUGGGAAACCCGUUGAAUCACCUUCGUGAUAGGGAUUGGGGCUUGAAAUUGUUCCCCAUGAACGAGGAAUUCCCAGUAAGCGCGAGUCAUAAGCUCGCGUUGAUUACGUCCCUGCCCUUUGUACACACCGCCCGUCGCUACUACCGAUUGAACGGUUUAGUGAGGGCCUCGGAUUGGUCUCGGCCCGCUCUUUACCGGGCGGCGCCGUUGGUCGAGAAGACGCUCGAACUUGAUCGUUUAGAGGAAGUAAAAGUCGUAACA
Molecule: ribosomal RNA, 334 nt
Filed under: uncultured eukaryote
Lineage: Eukaryota
Description: partial 18S ribosomal RNA
Rfam family: Eukaryotic small subunit ribosomal RNA
Source: RNAcentral